UACAGAGGUCUCAAGCGUUGUUCGGAUUCAUUGGGCGUAAAGGGUGCGUAGGCGGCUCGGUAAGUCGGGUGUGAAAUCUCCACGCUCAACGUGGAGGGGCCACUCGAUACUGCCGUGACUCGAGUCCGGUAGAGGAGUGUGGAAUUCCCGGUGUAGCGGUGAAAUGCGCAGAUAUCGGGAGGAACACCAGUAGCGAAGGCGGCACUCUGGGCCGGUACUGACGCUGAGGAGCGAAAGCGUGGGGAGCAAACAGG
Molecule: ribosomal RNA, 254 nt
Filed under: uncultured bacterium
Lineage: Bacteria
Description: partial 16S ribosomal RNA
Rfam family: Bacterial small subunit ribosomal RNA
Source: RNAcentral